GACUGGGAAUUGAGGUAAGAGUCAUCAGUGACACAGAAAAAAGCUGUGACCAAAAGUAACACUGUAACUGCUGGACUUUGAGAGACCUUGAUCAAAGACCACUGCCCGACUGCCCUGGGAACUUCAAGGAGUCAGCCAAAUGGGCCAUGCUGCUCGCAGUCUUCUGAAUGAUGAUCACAAAGGUCAUCUAGAACAAAUGUCUUAAGUGAUUUUGAGGUUAUGUGAGCAGAAAAAUAUAAUGGUAACAAAGGAAGUCAGGUGGUAUGAAGCGUGAACACACUAUUCUUGAAAGAGCUUAACAAAAAUCUGGAAGACUGAAUCCAAUCAACUCCCACCAGAGGCCUAAAAGUUUGCCCCCCACCCCCCUUGCUGCUGGGGCAGAGAUUCUGGACAGUGUGCAGCCUGUGAGGUAAUCUGAAUUCCUUGGCAACCACCAAGUACCUGAAUUCUUUCAAAACCGCAGGAAUCCAGCAGAGAAAAGUGAAAAUUUGGCUAUUAGCUCUGUCUCAAAAAGGGCCUCAGCAAACCGUUUUAGACCACAUAUUGGAUCCACCUAAAAUUGUAAAAUCCAGGGCAGAGUCUUUUUGGAUUCCACCUCUGACAAGAAAAAGAAAUCUACACCAUUUUGGUAGAGAAUGGUACCUCUCUCUGGAAACUGAGUGUCCUCUGCUGGUGCAAAGCAGGAAUACAUUUGUCAAACUCAAAAGUAGGGUGGACCUUUGGGGUGAAGUGCUGGGCACAAAUUUGAGGAACACAAUUUUUUCUAAACAUCUCCAUAUUUUGCCAUGUAUAAGAAAAUAAGGAGUCUUCCUGUGUUAAUAAAACAACAAGGACAACUGGAAAUUAUUAAUCUAAAUAGAAACUACUUCUGAUCUUUUUCUUAUUAAGUUUAAAAAGGUCAAGAAUUGACACAAAAUAUUUAUUUCCCAACACAGUCUUGUGAAAUGAACUUAAUCUUUAUGUCACCUAAGCAUUAAUUUGAGGCUCAAAACAGAAGUGACCCAGGAGAGGGCCCUUCUUUUCAAAAGAGGAAGCCAAUUAUAUUUGCUGCCAGGGCUUUCUCUUUAGGAAAAAUUAUGGUUUUCCUUGUUGAACCUCAAAGUAAAAUGGCCUAGUGAUCUCAUCCCAAACUGAUUAUCUUCAGUAAUGUCGACAGAAAACACACGUGACACAAAAUUACCAGAGGCUGCAGAUCUGGAGAUGCUAAAGACUAUUGUUGAAUGUAAUGACACAGUUGAGCAGAUUCUGAGGAUUAAAAAGAAGCAGAUGAAUGCCAAGAUCCACAGUAGGAAAGGCAACCAUCCUCAUCUCUAGAGCCACAGCUGUCAAGAAUUUCACAGUAGCUUCAUAAAGACUUAAUAGAGAAGACAUGAAAAUAUUCUUUAAAAUUAGCAAGAUGGAGCCCAGUCCCAUCAAGGGCCUAAUCUCAACUCACCGUCUAUGAGCAGAAGGUCACAGUAGCUUCAUAAAGACUUAAUAGAGAAGACUGUGAAAAUAUUCUUUAAAAUUAGCAAGAUGGAGCCCAGUCCCAUCAAGGACCCAAUCUCAACUCACCGUCUAUGAGCAGAGGGUUGUUAAUGUAACGGGAGACCAGGAUGUUCUCCUCCAGGGAAAUCUGGUUUGGCUAUUGAAAGAGAAAGAAUAAAAGGACAGAAAUCCUAACUCACAACAAGGGAGCAGAGUUCUUGACCUUUCAGAAACAAUAAAGUGGAAAACUACCACUCUUAAGAAAAGUUUUCCUCCGGGACACCUGGGUGGCUCAGUCGGUUAAGUGUCUGCCUUCGGCUCAUGAUCCCAGGGUCCUAGGUCAUGCCCCAUAUGGAAUCCUGCAUUGAGCACCCUGCUCAGCAGGGAGUCUGCCUCUCCCUCUGCCCCUCCUCAC
This is a long non-coding RNA of Canis lupus familiaris (dog), 1882 nucleotides long. RefSeq lists it as uncharacterized. NCBI's taxonomy places the organism in Eukaryota, Metazoa, Chordata, Mammalia, Carnivora, Canidae. The transcript has 5 exons. The record is from RefSeq and is a predicted model, not a curated record.